UACGUAGGUGGCAAGCGUUGUCCGGAAUUAUUGGGCGUAAAGCGCGCGCAGGCGGUCCUUUAAGUCUGAUGUGAAAGCCCACGGCUCAACCGUGGAGGGUCAUUGGAAACUGGGGGACUUGAGUGCAGAAGAGGAGAGUGGAAUUCCACGUGUAGCGGUGAAAUGCGUAGAGAUGUGGAGGAACACCAGUGGCGAAGGCGACUCUCUGGUCUGAAACUGACGCUGAGGCGCGAAAGCGUGGGGAGCAAACAGG
RNAcentral lists this ribosomal RNA (253 nucleotides) under uncultured bacterium. RNAcentral's name for it is "partial 16S ribosomal RNA". It matches the Rfam family "Bacterial small subunit ribosomal RNA", at positions 524 to 776 of the family's 1533-position model. The record is from RNAcentral.